CUAUUUGCAGAAAUAAGUUGAGUUUUCGCACAAAAAAAAACAAAAUCGUGAGUGGAGUGAUAUCAAAGAUUUGAUCCAGGAAAAAGCGUGAGUGGAUAUUUAACAAGCUAAUUUUGAAGAAAGAAAAGGAGCCAAAAAGUGAGAAGCAAUAACGUGAGUCACCGCAGUGACCGCGUGGAGCAUUGGGGUUGAGGAGUGGCUUCGUUCGGUGGAA
Long non-coding RNA from Aedes albopictus (Asian tiger mosquito), 214 nucleotides. RefSeq lists it as uncharacterized. The transcript has 3 exons. The record is from RefSeq and is a predicted model, not a curated record. Lineage: Eukaryota; Metazoa; Arthropoda; Insecta; Diptera; Culicidae.